GAUGAACGCUGGCGGCGUGCCUAAUACAUGCAAGUCGAACGAAACUUCUUUAUCACCGAGUGCUUGCACUCACCGAUAAAGAGUUGAGGGGCGAACGGUUGAGUAACACGUGGGCAACCUGCCCAAAAGUGGGGGAUAACACUUGGAAACAGGUGCUAAUACUGCAUAACCAUAGUUACCGCAUGGUAACUAUGUAAAAGGUGGCUAUACUACCGCUGUUGGAUGGGCCCGCGGCGCAUUAGCUAGUUGGUAGGGUAAAGGCUUACCAAGGCAGUGAUGCGUAGCCGAAUUGAGAGGGUGAUCGGCCACAGUGGGACUGAGACACGGCCCAGACUCCUACGGGAGGCAGCAGUAGGGAAUCUUCCACGAUGGGCGAAAGCCUGAUGGAGCAACGCCGCGUGGGUGAAGCAGGUCUUCGGAUCGUAAAACCCUGUUGUUAGAGAAGAAAGUGCGUGAGAGUAACUGUUCACGUUUCGACGGUAUCUAAACAGAAAGCCACGGCUAACUACGUG
RNAcentral lists this ribosomal RNA (512 nucleotides) under uncultured bacterium. RNAcentral's name for it is "partial 16S ribosomal RNA". It matches the Rfam family "Bacterial small subunit ribosomal RNA", at positions 28 to 507 of the family's 1533-position model. The record is from RNAcentral.